Molecule: long non-coding RNA, 7303 nt
Organism: Neofelis nebulosa (Clouded leopard)
Lineage: Eukaryota; Metazoa; Chordata; Mammalia; Carnivora; Felidae
Exons: 2
Source: RefSeq, a predicted model, not a curated record
UCCCUUCUCCGGCUCCCGGGUUCCCUGCCUCCCGCGGGCGGCACGUGGGCCGCGGCCGCGCUGGGUUUUUACCCUUCUCCUUUUCUCCUUCAGCCUGAGCGCCGCGGCUCUGCCUCGCGGCCCGCUCGCCCCUCUGGGGAGGAAAAGCGCCGCUUAACCCUGGCGGCGCCGCUCCCGCUGCGCCCUGGGCUUUGGGUUUUAGACACCGGGUGCACCCCCGCCUCCGAGUGGGUCCCCAGCAGAGGAGGCACACGUUUUCCCCUUGGGGUGAAGGGAGCAAAGAUUGUUUUUGAAACAAACCGACCCUGCAGCCCUUGUGCUUGUGGCCUUUUUAGUAUCAGGAAGUGAGCGGAAGACCCAUUGCCAAACGUAGUGCUAACCGGGGACCCAAGUGGUGAGCGUUUUCUAAAGGCCAAGAGUCAAAGGGUCUCCAAGGAACGUGGGAGUAUUUGAAAAAGGAGGCAGUUCUCUCCUUUGGGCUGGCUGUUAAUAUAAAACUGUAAUUCUUAAGUCUAUGUAAGUAGCCACACCUACUGCGAGCAGUUGAAUGGGUUGAAUGUGUGAUGAAAAAAAUGCAUUUUUUGACUCCAGUGAACUGCGACUUUAGAUAAUGGUUAAUGCGAGCUCCUCUUACUUUGGAGGAGGAGGGCAUUUUAAACAUUGAAACCAGUUUCUUAAAGAGAGGCUGAGUAUCAGGACUCUGCCCAAAAGAUGCAGUAAGAGCCGAGGUGCUUCGGAAAAGCAGUGUUGACAAGAGUUCAGGAAAAGUCACUUGUGAGAAAUGGACAUUUUUAAUAGCGAAAUGAUGUGCUUUUGUGUAGAAACAGAGGAAGGGUGCACUUGAUCUGAGGAAACGGAGUUUGGCCGCCUCGUGUGUUCAGUGGUGAUUUACUUUACCUCAAAACGGUUAACACAGUAAAUGAAUCAAGACACCCCUCCCUUCCCAGUUCAUGAAAAGAAAUUGAAGUUUAAUCUGAUUAGAGAUGCUGACUAUAGAAGAUAAACCUCCCCAUAUCAUUGCAUUAUGUUCACAAGUGAGCGCAGCUAGAACAGUGAAAACUAUCCCCUCCAUUUUUUGUGGCCCUUUUAUUCAUGUUUCCAAAUGUGAGAGAUUUGAGUUGAAGUGGAAUGUUCAGUAAUGUUAUUUAUCUGCCCUGAUGUUCUGUACUAUCACUAUUCAUGGUAGCAUAAAUUGAAAACGAGAAUGUCAUGUUUAGUUUUUUCCAUGUUUUUAAUGCUGCUUUGCACAUUCAAUAUAGAAUAACUCUUUACCUACCUUUAAUUGUUAUAAUUUUGAUACGUAAGUAGAAAUACUGACAUUUCCUAAAAUUGGGCCAUUAAAAGCUUUUCCUUUUUUGAGAAAAAGAACUAGUGCCGUCCUUACUGUGGCUUGAUCAUAAUUAACGUAGUUGAAGGUUAGUUUGAUCGUAAUUAACACGGCUGUAGUCACUACAUUGAGGAAUAACAAGAGUUUCUUGAGAAUGGGAGAUUAAAGAGCACCUGGGUGGCACAGGUGUUUAAGCAUCUGCCUCUUGAUUUCAGCUCAGGUCAUGAUCUCACACAGUUUGUGGGUUCCAGCCCCGUGUUGGGCUCUGCGCUGAUGGUGUGGAGCCUGCUUGGGAUUCUCUUUCUCCUUGUCUCUGUCUUUCUCUCAAAGUUAAAUAGAUAAACUUUAAAAAUGAAAAAGUUAGGGCUGCCUGGGUGGCUCAGUCGGUUGGGCAUCUGACUUCGGCUCAGGUCAUGACCUCAUGGUUCGUGAGUUCAAGCCUGGCGUCGGGCUCUGGGCUGACAGCUCAGAGCCUGGAGCCUGUUUCAGAUUCUGUGUCUCCCUCUCUCUGCCCCUUCCCUGCUCAUGCUCUGUCUCUGUCUCAAAAAUAAACAUUAAAAAAAAAAAAAGGUUAAAAAAAAUCUUAAAGUGAAAAAGCAACUGCAUUUAGCAGUUAUGAUCAUCCAAAGAUGUAUUUAAAAGCUUGCUAAAGGAAUACGAAAAAGCCUGUCAAAUUAAUAUCUCAUUUCUUUAAUAUACUGAUCACUAUCUCUUUUUUAAGAGCUGGUAAUUUCCUUUAACAAAGAGUCAGUAGAUCUGUAUGGGUUUACUUUCUCAAAAAAAAAAAAACAAAAACAAAAACAAAAAAACCCCCUUCCAUUUAGAGCCAGGGGAAGAUAGUUGACAUUCAUGCUAUUGCUAUUAAUUCAUAGUAAAUUAGCAAAUGAAAAGAUCUGGUUCCUAAAAGUAGAAGUAAAGCAAAUUUAUCUUUUCUUGUUGAAGUUCCUAGUUUUGUUUUGUGCACCUAGUUUUGUUUUUUUGUUUGUUUUUAAAUACCUUGGGGGUUAGGAUGACUGGAGCCUAAUAACACAGUGACUCUGUGGAACUUGUGGCAGUAUUUCUUCCAGGUCUGUAUACAGAAUGGCAUCCUAAUGGCCUAAGUUCUCUGAUGUAUGCAGCUAAUUCACUUUUUUCUACUAUGCAUUUAGAACGAUUCUAGUUAUGUAUCAUUCUUGGGAAAUUGGAGAAAACGGUCAAAUUAUCUGUGCUUGGUAGUUCAGAUGAGGAACCCCAGUUGAGAGAGCCUGGAAGGGGAUCAGAGAAAUUACUUGCUUCUAUUGUAUGGUAGGAACAAAUCAGUAUGCCACUACCUUGAAUCCUAGUUAAGACAAGUGGAUGGAGCACACUUAUGCAGGAACACAUCUUUGUAGUGGCAUUUGAUUUCAUGAGAUUUUUGCUUCUAUUUCAGUGGAUAGGUUCAUCAGGGAGAUUUAAUAGAAGCAAGAUUUUCCUCAUCCUGGGAUUUAGGAAACCAGAUGAAUCUUACCUUCUUUUUAUGUUUUUUUCAGAUGAUGAACCUUAUUUUAAAAAUUAGACUUGAUUAUACUUCAUUUUGACUUAAUUUCUUUGUAUUAUGGUAUUAAUGUGUUUAUUCAGUUACAGGUUGUACAGAUGUUUGGGUGUAUAUAAAGUAAGGCCCUCUGAAAAUUGAGAAAAGGAAUAUUUCUGAAUUAGUGUGAAGUUUUGCUGUAAUUUUGUAAAACUUAUUUUAAUUGAUAUUUACAUUAUUAUUUCCUAAUAAGAAAAUACAGUGCUAAUAAGAUUCAAAAUUGUUACUCUCUUUUAGGAUGUCAUGUGAUUUAUGGAAAAGGAAAAUCUAAACGAGACAGAGUGCAAGCAGGGGAGGGGCAGAGAGAGAGGAAGACACAGAAUCAGAAGCAGGCUCCAGGCUCAGGCUGUCAGUACAGAGCCCAACGUGGGGCUCGAACCCAUGAACCGUGAGAUCAUGACCUGAGUUGAAGUUGGACACUCAACCAACUGAGCCCCCAGGAACCCCCCCUUUUUUUUUAAUUUUAGAGUGCAAGCAGGGGAGAGGGGGCAGAGGGAGGGAGAUAAAACACGCUCCACACUCAGUGCAGAGCCUGACAAAGAAGAGCUUGAUCCCUCGAUCCUGGGAUCAUGACCUGAGCCAAAAUCAAGGGUCGGGUGCUUAACUGGCUGAGCCAACCAGAUGCCCCAAAUUACUGUAAAUUUUGCUGACCAAAACAAUGCAUAUUUAUUAUCUCACGGUUUCUAUAGGUCAGGAAUCUGGGUUCAAUUUAGCGUGGUUCUUUUGCAAGACUGCAAUAAAGGUAUGCUAGGACUGGGUUGUUUUUUCAAGACUCGACUGGGAUAGCAUCUACUUUCAAGCCCCCUCUGGUUGGUAAAAUUGAUUUCCUCAUGGUUGCUAGGCUCAUGGCAGCUUGCUUCUUCAAAGCCAGCAAAGGAGAAAGUCUAGCAAGAUGAACUGGUGCUAUACUCUUACGUAAAUGCGUGCGUGUAAUCACACACAGCCCGUUGCUUUACUGCUUCCACUGGUUAGAAGUCAUAGGCCCUGCUCAGACUCAAGGGGAGGGAAUGACAGGUGUAAAUUUCAGAAGGCAGACAUCAUAUGUGACCAUCGUAAAGUGUAACCACCUUUGGGUAUAGACUUCGUUUGGCCAGUUAAAGAUGCAACUGUUCUAACUUUAUUUUUAAAUUCAUUUUUUAUUUACUUUAGAAAAGUUGUAAUAAUGUGGUAAAUGUUGCUUUAGUAAACAUAAUUUUUUUCUUUUUUCUUUUUAAGGGCUGGCAUUGUAGUUGUCAGGGGUACAAACCUGGCCUCUCUUGUGCUUGCUCAGGUCCCAGUUGAAUUUGAGAUUAUUAUAUAUUGUAACAAGUGCCAUAAUAAGACUAUUACAAAAUGCUUUGUAAGGUAUGUUGUCUCAGGUAAGGAAUACUUCACAGAGGAAGGUAACACCUGAACUGUAUUUUGAAAGGUUUAGAAGUUGUGUGCAGGGGAGACGCUAUAGACUAAAGAAUCCACAAAAGCCUUGGAUUUUGAUAGGGUACACUGAAAGGUUUGGAUUGUAGUGUGUAAGGAGGACUGAUGAGAGCAUGAAUCUGGAAAACUCGGUUUGGACCAUUUGUUGAAGGAUUUUAUAGUGCUGUGCCUUUGUUUUACCUAACCAACCAAGUUUUAAAGUAGCAACACUCCUAUCAUAGUUGAUAUGGAUGGCAACCUUCCCGAGUACUGCAGUGUGCAGUCUGUGACACUUUAUGACAUUGCUAAUCAUGAUUAAGUUGGUUGUUAGGAGGGGAGAGGUAGUAGGAAGAUAAGCUAGGAGGACUCUUGCUUUAAAUUUUUUUUAUUUCAGAGAGCGCAUGAACAGGCAAGGGGUGGGGGAGAGAGAGAAUCUUAAGCAGGCUCCUCACUCAGCUCGGAGCCCAACCCAGGACUCCAUCUCACUACCUGGGAUCAUGACCUGAGCUGAAAUCAAGAGUCGAAAGCUCAGCUGAGCCACCCGGGUGCCCCAGGCUAGGACUCUUUUAGACUAUAAUUGGUGGAAGAUGCCUAAAUUGAAAUUAUGGCAUUGGUGAAGGAGAGGAAAAGUUGGAUUUGAUUAGGAUUUCUAAGGUAGAACCGAUAGGAUUGAGAGCCUGGAUGCAUAAUGAUGUCAUUAACCAAUAUUAAAAAAGGAAAGAAGAAAUUUUAGGAAAUGAUUAGUUCUUUUAGGCCUGCUUAAAUUUUGCGUGGCUAUAGGAGUUCCAUUUAGAAGUAUCCUUUAAGCAGUUGGAACAUCACUAAUGUAGAACAUUACAAAAACUUGAGAAAUAAUCAGCAGAUUGUAAGUGAAGCCAAAAAAUGGACAAAAUUACUAUGGGAUGAAUAUAAAUUGAGGAGCAAGCAUGGAGGCCUGGGGAACAAGAAUUUUAAGAGACAAGCAGAGUAGGAGAACAGCCGUUAGAAUUGAACCCAUGGAAAAGAAGUUGAUUGAAAUAUUUUUUUAUUAUAAAAAUAAUAUUUAUUAGAAAAAAUCAGAAAAUACUGAAAAACACACAAAAGAAAUAGCAAAUCACUUGUAAUCUUGCCACCAGAAAUAACUAGAAUAAAAUGUUGAUGUCUACUUUUUCAUAUACAUGUUUUUGGAACAUUCAUUCUAUACUUUUCAUUUUAAACUUUUCUCACAUUCUAAUGUAAGAUUGUAAGGCUACACAUUUCCCUCUGAGAGUUGCUUUAGGUGAAUCCCGCAAAUUGUGAAGUGGUUUUACCUUAGAGUUAAAAAUAUUGCUUAAUUUCUCUUGUGAUUUCUUCUUUGAUAUAUGGGUUUGAUAUUCUUUGAUAACACCCUGUUUCCACUUCAUCAGUUUCUUCCAUCACUUUGAAUUUUUUAUAACGUGGUUUUUAAUGACUGCUCAGGGUUCCAAAAUGCAAUCCAUAAACAUUUAAUGAGAACCUAUUUUGCCAUUCACUGUCCUAGGGAUACAAAAGUGAAGAAAUAAAACACAUGUCCCUGCUUUCAGGUACCUUAUUUUCUACUCUAGGGAGACAGUAAGCAAGUAAAAACACAUAGUGUGUCAGAGGGUGUUGAAUGCAAUGGGGAAAAAUGGAGUGGGAAGGUGGAUAGAGAUUGUGGGGUGGAGGCUUGCCCCUGUUUUAAAUAAUGUUUUGGAGAUCACCUCGCUGACAAGGUUGACAUUCAAACCAAGGGGAGGGAGCAAGCCAUGAAGGAUCUCUAGGGGAAAAGCAUACCCAGGCAGAAGGAACAAUUUCUAGAAAGGCCCUGAGAAACGAAUGUACCUGAUGUGUCCUGGGAACAGCCGUGAAACCAGUAUAUUUGGAGUGCAGAGGGUUGUAGGUGAGAGCAGAGAGGGGUUGGGUAGGACAGAAUCCUAACAUGCCUCGUAACCACUGACCUGGUGUUUUGACUUUUGUUUUAGGGAGAGAUGGGGAGGCAUUUGAGAGUUUUUUGAGCAGAAGAUUGACAUAACUGGACUUGGGCUUAAAAAAAUUUUUUUAUGUUUAUUUUUGAGAGCGAGGACACGCACACACAGGGGAGAGGCAAAGAGAGAGGGAGACAGAAUCUGAAGCAGGCUCUGCGCUAACAGCAGCAAGAGUGACACAGGGCUUGAACUCAAACCAUGAGAUCAUGACCUGAGCUGAAGUCAGAUGCCUAAGCCUAACUGACUGGGUCCCCCAGUGCCCCCACCUCCUCAUACUUGGGCUUUAAAGGAUUACUCCGGCCACGAUGUGAGAGUGGAUGCUGGAGGGCAAGACUCAGGUAAGGAGUUAAAAAAAUCAGGGCAGCAGAUAACAGUGGCUUGGGCCAGGGUGGUAGUGCUGGAGGCGGUGUGGACUGGCCAGAUUCUUGAUGUCCUUCCUGUUCUUACCAACCAGAUGUGUGGAAGAGGGAGAGUGAGAGGGGAGCUGGGGUUUUAUACAGUUUGUUUGCAGUGGGCGCUGUCACCGUGUACUAUUGCUGUCAGAACCCUGACUCGCAAAUGUUUUAUGUUUCUCCAGUCACUUCUUAAAAAUUUAUCAGAGAUGUGGCAUUGUUUGAACCAAAGGUAUGCAUUUGUUCAAGGCAUUUGAUGUUUAUUGCUGAAUUGCCCUUUGGAAAGGGCCGCUUCUUCGAGCAAGGUAUAAUUUCAGGACUGUCUGAUUUUUUUUUUUUUUUUUUUUUUUCUCCCCAUGAAAACUCCAGUGAGGUUUUUUAAUACUUAAAGUGGAUUUUGAGUAAUAUCUGUCAGUCAUUAUUGUAUUCAGUGCCCGUUUUUUAAUAAUAAAUUUAGUGUAUCAAAAAAGAAUAAGUACAUUCCAUCAUUUGAAUUUAAUGAAUUCUGACAUCUUGUAUAUCCUAAUUUUUGUUUGAAUUCUGAUUAGUCUGUGAUAAUGUUUCAGUUCUAUUUGUAUACAUAUGAGCUGAGAAAAAUAAAGCAUAUACUGUGCAUAGUGAGUUAUUACAUGUAAUUCAUUUCAAAGAACCAGCUUUUGAUUUGAAUAAAUUUUACCACUUU